AGAGUUUCAUUCUGGCUCAGGAUGAACGCCGGCGGUGUGCCUAAUACAUGCAAGUCGAGCGCACUGGCCCAACUGAUAUGACGUGCUUGCACUGAUUUGACGAUGGAUCACCAGUGAGCGGCGGACGGGUGAGUAACACGUGGGCAACCUGCCCUGGAGCGGGGGAUAACAUUUGGAAACAGAUGCUAAUACCGCAUAACAAUCAAAACCACAUGGUUUUGAUUUCAAAGAUGGCUUCGGCUAUCACUCCAGGAUGGGCCCGCGGUGCAUUAGCUAGUUGGUAAGGUAACGGCUUACCAAGGCGACGAUGCAUAGCCGAGUUGAGAGACUGAUCGGCCACAUUGGGACUGAGACACGGCCCAAACUCCUACGGGAGGCAGCAGUAGGGAAUCUUCCACAAUGGACGCAAGUCUGAUGGAGCAACGCCGCGUGAGUGAAGAAGGCUUUCGGGUCGUAAAACUCUGUUGUUGGAGAAGAAUGGUCGGCAGAGUAACUGUUGUCGGCGUGACGGUAUCCAACCAGAAAGCCACGGCUAACUACGUGCCAGCAGCCGCGGUAAUACGUAGGGUGCAAGCGUUAUCCGGAUUUAUUGGGCGUAAAGCGAGCGCAGGCGGUUUUUUAAGUCUGAUGUGAAAGCCCUCGGCUUAACCGAGGAAGUGCAUCGGAAACUGGGAAACUUGAGUGCAGAAAAGGACAGUGGAACUCCAUGUGUAGCGGUGAAAUGCGUAGAUAUCGGGAAGAACACCAGUGGCGAAGGCGGCUCUCUGGUCUGUAACUGACGCUGAGGCUCGAAAGCAUGGGUAGCGAACAGGAUUAGAUACCCUGGUAGUCCAUGCCGUAAACGAUGAAUGCUAGGUGUUGGAGGGUUUCCGCCCUUCAGUGCCGCAGCUAACGCAUUAAGCAUUCCGCCUGGGGAGUACGGUCGCAAGAUUAAAACUCAAAGGAAUUGACGGGGGCCCGCACAAGCAGCGGAGCAUGUGGUUUAAUUCGAAGCAACGCGAAGAACCUUACCUAGACUUGACAUCUCCUGCAUUACUCUUAAUCGAGGAAAUCCCUUCGGGGACAAGGUGACAGGUGGUGCAUGGUUGUCGUCAGCUCGUGCCGUGAGAUGUUGGGUUAAGUCCCGCAACGAGCGCAACCCUUGUUAUUAGUUGCCAGCAUUAAGUUGGGCACUCUAAUGAGACUGCCGGUGACAAACCGGAGGAAGGCGGGGACGACGUCAAAUCAUCAUGCCCCUUAUGAUUUGGGCUACACACGUGCUACAAUGGCGUAAACAAAGGGAAGCGAGCCCGCGAGGGGGAGCAAAUCCCAAAAAUAACGUCCCAGUUCGGACUGCAGUCUGCAACUCGACUGCACGAAGCUGGAAUCGCUAGUAAUCGCGAAUCAGAAUGUCGCGGUGAAUACGUUCCCGGGUCUUGCACACACCGCCCGUCA
RNAcentral lists this ribosomal RNA (1434 nucleotides) under human gut metagenome. RNAcentral describes it as "bacterial SSU rRNA". It matches the Rfam family "Bacterial small subunit ribosomal RNA". The record is from RNAcentral.